Molecule: small nuclear RNA, 98 nt
Filed under: Orchesella cincta
Lineage: Eukaryota; Metazoa; Arthropoda; Collembola; Entomobryomorpha; Orchesellidae
Source: RNAcentral
GCAAAAGUUGCAUUGAAUAAAAUUGGAACGAUACAGAGAAGAUUAGCAUGGCCCCUGCGGAAGGAUGUUUUUUUAUUGUCUAGUCUAUGUCAACUUUG